CCAAUAACAACUAUUGAUAGCUUUAGGCAUAUGUAUGUGUUUAGUAACUUCAGGGAUGGAUUUAACCUGGAAACUUAAGCAGAUUGCAUGUAACUUGCAUUCUAGAAAAUAUGCACAGAGCAUUCCGUUGUGGGCCUGACCCAACCAAUAAAGCCUCAGGACAGGAAGUCCGAGAUUUAGCUAGCAGUCCACCUGAGAGCUCCCUCUGUAAGACAGCACACAGUUAAUACAGGUAUGCUUUAUUUAGAAUUUGAGAUGAGUUUUAA
RNAcentral lists this long non-coding RNA (266 nucleotides) under Homo sapiens (human). RNAcentral describes it as "non-protein coding lnc-GUF1-6:1". Lineage: Eukaryota; Metazoa; Chordata; Mammalia; Primates; Hominidae. The record is from RNAcentral.